CCCCGGUAAACGGCGGCCGUAACUAUAACGGUCCUAAGGUAGCGAAAUUCCUUGUCGGGUAAGUUCCGACCUGCACGAAUGGCGUAAUGAUGGCCAGGCUGUCUCCACCCGAGACUCAGUGAAAUUGAACUCGCUGUGAAGAUGCAGUGUACCCGCGGCAAGACGGAAAGACCCCGUGAACCUUUACUAUAGCUUGACACUGAACAUUGAGCCUUGAUGUGUAGGAUAGGUGGGAGGCUUUGAAGUGUGGACGCCAGUCUGCAUGGAGCCGACCUUGAAAUACCACCCUUUAAUGUUUGAUGUUCUAACGUGGACCCGUAAUCCGGGUUGCGGACAGUGUCUGGUGGGUAGUUUGACUGGGGCGGUCUCCUCCUAAAGAGUAACGGAGGAGCACGAAGGUUGGCUAAUCCUGGUCGGACAUCAGGAGGUUAGUGCAAUGGCAUAAGCCAGCUUGACUGCGAGCGUGACGGCGCGAGCAGGUGCGAAAGCAGGUCAUAGUGAUCCGGUGGUUCUGAAUGGAAGGGCCAUCGCUCAACGGAUAAAAGGUACUCCGGGGAUAACAGGCUGAUACCGCCCAAGAGUUCAUAUCGACGGCGGUGUUUGGCACCUCGAUGUCGGCUCAUCACAUCCUGGGGCUGAAGUAGGUCCCAAGGGUAUGGCUGUUCGCCAUUUAAAGUGGUACGCGAGCUGGGUUUAGAACGUCGUGAGACAGUUCGGUCCCUAUCUGCCGUGGGCGCUGG
Molecule: ribosomal RNA, 740 nt
Filed under: Salmonella enterica subsp. enterica serovar Typhimurium
Lineage: Bacteria; Pseudomonadati; Pseudomonadota; Gammaproteobacteria; Enterobacterales; Enterobacteriaceae
Description: partial 23S ribosomal RNA
Rfam family: Bacterial large subunit ribosomal RNA
Source: RNAcentral